GUGAGCUCUGAGCUGCCUGCCACCUGAGGAGAAACUGGAGCUCCAGGGAGAAGCUGCUGGAUACAGAUAAGACAAGAACUCAGGAUUGGCUGAGCCAUAGGUUAGAAGGAGCUUGGAUCCCCAAAUCACUGCAUGGAGGAAAUCCAGUGGCCAACCAGGAACAUCCAUCAAAAAUAAACUUUCUGCUGACUCUUACAACUUGAGAAAGACUUUCUAAUAAUCUUCCUUUGUAUUCUGGAUCUGCUUCACUUCUCCUGUGAAGAUGUUUUGGAGUCAGGCUUUACUAAAACUGUGGCUCACUAAAGGAGAGAGCUAUCCUACCAGGAGCUAAGAAGUGGGACUGGGCUUAUACUACACAGAAAAGAUUAGUGAGGUGCGAGGUGGGGUUGUGAUGAAAAAAACCAUAGAAAGACACCAAAGCCCACUCAGGUGGAUAUCAGAGGGACUGGAGACCAUACAUAGCAGAAUGUACUGAGGUUGAAGAGAAAGAAUGGACAAGUCAACUGGGAAGAAUGCAGAACAUAGCGAGAAAUAAAAGCAUCCAGUGGAAGUUGAUGCUUUGUGAAAGCCCUUUUCCUUACUUCUCCAUUUGUAAUCCAUGCACACCCUGCCCUCCAUUCCAGUCUGCAAAGGGAUGUCCAAAAGAGAAUGCAAAUUUUUGACGCUCCUCCUGUUUAGAAAUAGGGUCUAAGUACCCUCCCUUUGAGGCUAGACAGGCUGACUCAUCUAAGACUCCUUCAACCAAGAGAAUGCAAUGGAAAUGUUAGUGUUCAACUUCCAAGGCUAGAUCACAAAUGCCAUAAAGUUUCUGCCUUGUUCUCUUGGGAGGCUCAUUCUAUUACCUGGGGAAAGCCAUCUGUUACCUAAGAAGUCUGACUGCAUGAGACUUUCAUGCUGGUGAGGCCAUGUGCAGGUGUUUCAGUCAACAGCCCCCACUGUGCACCCAGAUGGCUGUUGGCUUCAACCAUCAGCCAUGUGCAUGCACCAUCUUGGAUGUCCAGCCCGAUUGAGCCUUACAGUGACUGCAGCCCCAAGUGGCAUCUAAAUGUUACCUCAUGAGAGAUCCCAAGCAAGAACUUUCUAGGUGAACCUUUCCCAAAUUUCUGAUCCACAAAAUUG
RNAcentral lists this long non-coding RNA (1119 nucleotides) under Homo sapiens (human). RNAcentral describes it as "HSALNT0124074". Lineage: Eukaryota; Metazoa; Chordata; Mammalia; Primates; Hominidae. The record is from RNAcentral.